Molecule: ribosomal RNA, 303 nt
Filed under: Triticum aestivum (bread wheat)
Lineage: Eukaryota; Viridiplantae; Streptophyta; Magnoliopsida; Poales; Poaceae
Description: partial small subunit ribosomal RNA
Source: RNAcentral
AUGCCUCAACCAUCAAUGAAGGCAUUUGUUCGACUGGUUCGCGGGGUCGCCGCCUCUUCGUCGCUGGCCACCGCAGCAAUGGUGUUGGUGGACUCUGCCGCUUCCGGUGUGAAGGUUGGAAUCAGCGCCGCCAGGAUCUUCGUCGCCGCCACGGAAUGGUGCGGGGCCCUUGAACCAACCCGCGCAGCCAUUGGCGCCUCUGCAGCCCAAAGUGCCCGCCUGGCUUCUCGCCGGUUCGGCCGCACCAAGGCUCGAGGCCGGCUUUGGUGGCUUCGCCGCCGCGGUUCUGGUGAUUGGUGUUGA